RNAcentral lists this ribosomal RNA (699 nucleotides) under uncultured bacterium. RNAcentral describes it as "bacterial SSU rRNA". It matches the Rfam family "Bacterial small subunit ribosomal RNA", at positions 1 to 695 of the family's 1533-position model. The record is from RNAcentral.
AGGAGUUUGAUCCUGGCUCAGAUUGAACGCUGGCGGCAUGCCUAACACAUGCAAGUCGAACGGAAACGAUGGGAGCUUGCUCCCAGGCGUCGAGUGGCGGACGGGUGAGUAAUACUUAGGAAUCUGCCCAUUAGCGGGGGACAACUCGGGGAAACUCGAGCUAAUACCGCAUACGCCCUACGGGGGAAAGCGGAGGACUCUUCGGAGCUUCGCACUAAUGGAUGAGCCUAAGCCGGAUUAGCUAGUUGGUAGGGUAAAAGCCUACCAAGGCGACGAUCCGUAGCUGGUCUGAGAGGACGAUCAGCCACACUGGGACUGAGACACGGCCCAGACUCCUACGGGAGGCAGCAGUGGGGAAUAUUGCACAAUGGGCGCAAGCCUGAUGCAGCAAUGCCGCGUGUGUGAAGAAGGCCUGCGGGUUGUAAAGCACUUUCAGUAGAGAAGAAAAGCCUAGGGUUAAUACCCCUGAGUCUUGACGUUACCUACAGAAGAAGCUCCGGCUAACUCCGUGCCAGCAGCCGCGGUAAUACGGAAGGAGCGAGCGUUAAUCGGAAUUACUGGGCGUAAAGCGCGCGUAGGCGGCUUUGUAAGUCGGAUGUGAAAGCCCCGGGCUCAACCUGGGAAUUGCAUUCGAUACUGCAGAGCUAGAGUAUGGUAGAGGGAAGUGGAAUUUCCGGUGUAGCGGUGAAAUGCGUAGAU